Molecule: long non-coding RNA, 605 nt
Filed under: Lynx canadensis (Canada lynx)
Lineage: Eukaryota; Metazoa; Chordata; Mammalia; Carnivora; Felidae
Description: lncRNA (ENSLCNG00005019763.1)
Source: RNAcentral
GCAUCGCGUGACAGGGACUUCCGGCCCCUCGCCCGCGUUUUUUGCGGUUCUUGGGGAUCCCUGGCGCAGCGUUGAGACGCGCAUGACAGAACGGAGCAGGCAUGGCGAGAGCCAUGCUCACAGCCGAGACGCGGGCUAGCGGCUCGGCGACGUUGCCGGUGCUGCUCUGCGCCGGGGCCCGGACAGGCACCGCCCGCCCGGGUGUCCGCUCCGCCCAUGGAGUCCGAUGGCGACGGCCGCGCGCAGGGACCCGGCUGAGAGUUCCAGGACUGCAGAAAUACUUAGGGAACCAACACAGGGGCUUGUCUGUGCUUCCUGUAUCAGGACCAUGGACACUGCUUCUUGCCCCAGCUCCCCAAGUAUGUGCUGUGGCUGGUAAGGCUGAGGUGGUUGGUGUGGAGGAGACCACGAGGAGGAGCAUUUCUGUAGGCGUGCCACAGGUGAGGACUCCAAGGCAGGUGUGUCUGCCCAGAAGGCCUGCUCCUAGGAGAUACGAAGCCUCGUCUCGAGGGACAUUUAUGUGCACCAGGGAGCACAUACCACGCGGAGGCUGUACACCCAUGGGGCAGGUGGGCAGUGAAUGUUUUAUUGCAGACCUCCUGUAG